Molecule: small nucleolar RNA, 124 nt
Filed under: Ochotona princeps (American pika)
Lineage: Eukaryota; Metazoa; Chordata; Mammalia; Lagomorpha; Ochotonidae
Description: Small nucleolar RNA SNORA74 (ENSOPRG00000023435.1)
Source: RNAcentral
UCCAGCUAUAGGCAACUGCCUAGGUUGCAUUAUAUCUAGGCAAGUGUUACAUUGUUGGGAGAAAAGCAGCUAAGCGGUGACAGGUAUUCUAGGCCUGGUUAAUGCCAAAUUUGUAUUAAACAUA